UACGGAAGGCAGCAGUGGGGAAUAUUGGACAAUGGGCGCAAGCCUGAUCCAGCCAUGCCGCGUGUGUGAAGAAGGCCUUUUGGUUGUAAAGCACUUUAAGCGAGGAGGAGGCUCUCUUAGUUAAUACCUAAGAUGAGUGGACGUUACUCGCAGAAUAAGCACCGGCUAACUCUGUGCCAGCAGCCGCGGUAAUACAGAGGGUGCGAGCGUUAAUCGGAUUUUACUGGGCGUAAAGCGUGCGUAGGCGGCUUUUUUAAGUCGGAUGUGAAAUCCCCGAGCUUAACUUGGGAAUUGCAUUCGAUACUGGGAAGCUAGAGUAUGGGAGAGGAUGGUAGAAUUCCAGGUGUAGCGGUGAAAUGCGUAGAGAUCUGGAGGAAUACCGAUGGGCGAAGGCAGCCAUCUGGGCCUAAUACUGACGCUGAGGUACGAAAGCAUGGGGAGCAAACAGGAUAGAUACCCGU
This 461-nucleotide ribosomal RNA is filed under the name uncultured bacterium. Its description in RNAcentral is "bacterial SSU rRNA". It matches the Rfam family "Bacterial small subunit ribosomal RNA", at positions 340 to 789 of the family's 1533-position model. The record is from RNAcentral.